UACGUAGGGGGCAAGCGUUAUCCGGAUUUACUGGGUGUAAAGGGGGCGCAGACGGCGAUGCAAGCCAGGAGUGAAAGCCCGGGGCCCAACCCCGGGACUGCUCUUGGAACUGCGUGGCUGGGGUGCAGGAGGGGCAGGCGGAAUUCCUGGUGUAGCGGUGAAAUGCGUAGAUAUGAGGAGGAACACCGGUGGCGAAGGCAGCUUACCAAUCUAUAUCUGACGUUGAGGCACGAAAGCGUGGGGAGCAAACAGG
RNAcentral lists this ribosomal RNA (253 nucleotides) under uncultured bacterium. RNAcentral describes it as "partial 16S ribosomal RNA". It matches the Rfam family "Bacterial small subunit ribosomal RNA", at positions 524 to 776 of the family's 1533-position model. The record is from RNAcentral.